GUUUUGGGGCCGUUACUCGCAGAAAUAGCACCGGCUAACUCUGUGCCAGCAGCCGCGGUAAUACGUAGGUGCGUGCCAGCAGCCGCGGUA
RNAcentral lists this ribosomal RNA (90 nucleotides) under uncultured Acinetobacter sp. RNAcentral describes it as "partial 16S ribosomal RNA". Lineage: Bacteria; Pseudomonadati; Pseudomonadota; Gammaproteobacteria; Moraxellales; Moraxellaceae. The record is from RNAcentral.